GGAGAGAUGGCAGAGUGGCUUAACGCGCCGGUCUUGAAAACUGAAGUGCCGGCAACGGUACCGUGGGUUCGAAUCCCUCUCUUUGCGCCA
This 90-nucleotide transfer RNA is filed under the name Puniceicoccales bacterium. RNAcentral's name for it is "tRNA-Ser". It matches the Rfam family "tRNA". From Rfam's summary of the family: Transfer RNA (tRNA) molecules are approximately 80 nucleotides in length. Lineage: Bacteria; Pseudomonadati; Verrucomicrobiota; Opitutia; Puniceicoccales. The record is from RNAcentral.